RNAcentral lists this ribosomal RNA (492 nucleotides) under uncultured bacterium. RNAcentral describes it as "partial 16S ribosomal RNA". It matches the Rfam family "Bacterial small subunit ribosomal RNA", at positions 29 to 507 of the family's 1533-position model. The record is from RNAcentral.
AGUGAACGCUGGCGGUAGGCCUAACACAUGCAAGUCGAACGGCAGCACAGUAAGAGCUUGCUCUUACGGGUGGCGAGUGGCGGACGGGUGAGGAAUACAUCGGAAUCUACUUUUUCGUGGGGGAUAACGUAGGGAAACUUACGCUAAUACCGCAUACGACCUACGGGUGAAAGCAGGGGAUCUUCGGACCUUGCGCGAUUGAAUGAGCCGAUGUCGGAUUAGCUAGUUGGCGGGGUAAAGGCCCACCAAGGCGACGAUCCGUAGCUGGUCUGAGAGGAUGAUCAGCCACACUGGAACUGAGACACGGUCCAGACUCCUACGGGAGGCAGCUGUGGAGAAUAUUGGACAAUGGGCGCAAGCCUGAUCCAGCCAUACCGCGUGGGUGAAGAAGGCCUUCGGGUUGUAAAGCCCUUUUGUUGGGAAAGAAAAGCAGCAGGUUAAUACCCCGCUGUUCUGACGGUACCCAAAGAAUAAGCACCGGCUAACUUCGUG